Molecule: ribosomal RNA, 447 nt
Filed under: [Eubacterium] brachy
Lineage: Bacteria; Bacillati; Bacillota; Clostridia; Peptostreptococcales; Anaerovoracaceae
Description: bacterial SSU rRNA
Rfam family: Bacterial small subunit ribosomal RNA
Source: RNAcentral
GAUGAACGCUGGCGGCGUGCUUAACACAUGCAAGUCGAGCGAGAAGUUUUGAAAAGAUUCUUCGGAUGAAAUUUAAAAUGGAAAGCGGCGGACGGGUGAGUAACGCGUAGGCAACCUGCCCCAUACAAAGGGAUAGCAUUUGGAAACGAAUAUUAAUACCUUAUGAAACUUAACUAGUGCAUGCUAGGUAGGUCAAAGAUUUAUCGGUAUGGGAUGGGCCUGCGUCUGAUUAGCUAGUUGGUGAGGUAACGGCUCACCAAGGCGACGAUCAGUAGCCGACCUGAGAGGGUGAACGGCCACAUUGGAACUGAGACACGGUCCAAACUCCUACGGGAGGCAGCAGUGGGGAAUAUUGCACAAUGGGGGAAACCCUGAUGCAGCAACGCCGCGUGAACGAUGAAGGCCUUUGGGUCGUAAAGUUCUGUUCUAGGUGAUGAAAACUGACAG